GUCGGGAAUAUUGGUCAAUGGGCGAAAGCCUGAACCAGCAACGCCGCGUGCACGAUGAAGGCCUUCGGGUCGUAAAGUGCUUUUCAGAGGGAUGAGGAAGGACAGUACCUCUGGAAUAAGUCACGGCUAACUACGUGCCAGCAGCCGCGGUAAAACGUAGGUGACGAGCGUUAUCCGGAUUUACUGGGCGUAAAGCGCGUUCAGGCGGUUUGGCAAGUCGGGCAUGAAAUCUCUCGGCCUAACCGGGAGAGGCUGUCCGAUACUGCCGAGCUUGAGGGCGGUAAAAGGUGGCGGAAUUCCGCAUGUAGUGGUGAAAUGCGUAGAUAUGCGGAGGAACACCAGUGGCGAAGGCGGCCACCUAGGCCGACCCUGACGCUGAAGCGCGAAAGCUAGGGUAGCGAACGGGAUUAGAUACCCCAGUAGUCC
RNAcentral lists this ribosomal RNA (426 nucleotides) under uncultured bacterium. RNAcentral describes it as "bacterial SSU rRNA". It matches the Rfam family "Bacterial small subunit ribosomal RNA", at positions 354 to 796 of the family's 1533-position model. The record is from RNAcentral.